AGGGAGCCCUGCCUGAACCAACUUCUUAACUCAUUCGGGGUAGGUUCCUCAGCCCUGUGUAAGUCUCCUCGGGCUGACCCUGUUUGCUUUAAGUCUUUC
Lontra canadensis (Northern American river otter) is the source of this 99-nucleotide long non-coding RNA. RefSeq lists it as uncharacterized. NCBI's taxonomy places the organism in Eukaryota, Metazoa, Chordata, Mammalia, Carnivora, Mustelidae. The record is from RefSeq and is a predicted model, not a curated record. The transcript is spliced from 3 exons.